CUAGUACUCCCUCUGUCCAAAAAUACUUUCAUCAAAAUGGACAAAAGAGGAUGUAUCUAGAACUAAAAUACAUCUAGAUACAUCCCCUUUUAUUCAUUUUGAUGACAAGUAUUUCCGGACGGAGGUAGUACUAA
Molecule: non-coding RNA, 134 nt
Organism: Triticum urartu
Lineage: Eukaryota; Viridiplantae; Streptophyta; Magnoliopsida; Poales; Poaceae
Source: Rfam